UUCCUAAUAGCUCAGUCGGUAAAGAAUCUGCCUGCAAUGCAGGAGACCAGGGUUUGAUCCCUGGGUAGGGAG
Molecule: transfer RNA, 72 nt
Filed under: Bos taurus (domestic cattle)
Lineage: Eukaryota; Metazoa; Chordata; Mammalia; Artiodactyla; Bovidae
Also listed under: 2 other names
Rfam family: tRNA
About the family: Transfer RNA (tRNA) molecules are approximately 80 nucleotides in length. Their secondary structure includes four short double-helical elements and three loops (D, anti-codon, and T loops).
Source: Rfam by way of RNAcentral